This 1105-nucleotide unclassified non-coding RNA is filed under the name Portunus trituberculatus (swimming crab). RNAcentral describes it as "ubiquitin-conjugating enzyme E2Q-like protein 1, transcript variant X2". Lineage: Eukaryota; Metazoa; Arthropoda; Malacostraca; Decapoda; Portunidae. The record is from RNAcentral.
GAGAAGGAGAAGAGGAAGAAAGAAGAGGAAGAGGAGGAGGAGGAGGUAAAGAAGAAGAAGAAGAAGAAGAAGGAGAAGGAAGACAAGAAGGAUAUGGAAGAAAAUGUUGAAAAACAACAACAACAACAACAACAGCACUGCAACUUUUUCAAAACUCUAAGGAAACUAACAUUUAGAGCCCCAAAAACCACCACCACCAGUAGUAGUAGUAGUAGUAGUAGUAGUAGUAGUAGUAGUAGUAGUGUGAGAACGAAGCGAUUGAUGAGAGAAUUUAAAGUUAUAAGUAGAAAUAUGAACAAAUCUUUCAGUGUCCAUCUCGUGAGUGACUGCCUGGAUGAGUGGCUGGUCAGCCUUCACCAAAUAGCGGAAGAUUCAUUACUUCACCGAGAUAUGCAAGAAUUGGGUAUUUCUUCGAUCUCUCUCUCUUUAAGCUUUCCUGACAAUUUUCCCUUCCAUCCGCCUUUCCUCAGAGUCCUCGCGCCCAGGCUGGAAAAGGGGUUUGUGAUGGAGGGCGGGGCGAUAUGCAUGGAGCUGCUCACGCCGAAGGGAUGGGCGUCCGCUUACACUGUGGAGGCGAUCAUCAUGCAGUUUGCGGCCAGUCUUAUAAAGGGGCAAGGUCGUAUCAGCAGGCAGGGUGGCAAGGCGGGGACCAGCCACGCGUUCUCCAAGAUGUCAGCAGAGCAGUCCUUCAAAUCACUGGUCAAAACUCACGAUAAACACGGCUGGCUCACUCCACCACUGUCUGAAGGCUGACUGGCUGGUCGUAGGAGGCUCGUAAGGGCUCGUGGGGGGUCGUAAGGGGUCGUUGGGACAUUCACGAGGCAUUGGGGACGUGUGAGAGAGAGAGAAAGAGAGAAAGAGCUGGCUGGGUGGUCGUGGGGGGUCGUUUGAGGUAGUAGGAGGGUCGUAAGGGGUCGUUGGGACAUUCACGAGGCAUUGGGACGUGUGAGAGAGAGAGAAAGAGAGAAAGAGCUGGCUGGGUGGUCGUGGGUGUUCGUAGGGGGUCGUAGGGGGUCGUUGGGACAUUCACGAGGCAUUGGGGACGUGUGAGAGAGAGAGAAAGAGAGAAAGAGCUGGCUGGAUGGUCGUGGGGGGUCGUUUGAGG